ACCGGGGCCUCAGGUCUCUACUCCCAUCCCAUGUUAACUUUUUACCGUUGCUUUGGCGGACCGGUGGUCUGACUGCCGCCGGCUCUAGGCUGGAGAGCGUCUGCCAGAGGAUUUUCAAAUGCUGUUUAAACGUGUGCUCUGAGUACAACUUAAUUAGAAUCAAAACUUUCAACAACGGAUCUCUUGGUUCUGGCAUCGAUGAAGAACGCAGCGAAAUGCGAUAAGUAAUGUGAAUUGCAGAAUUCAGUGAAUCAUCGAAUCUUUGAACGCACAUUGCGCCCUUUGGUAUUCCGAGGGGCAUGCCUGUUCGAGCGUCAUUUAAACAAUCAAGCACAGCUUGGCCUUGGACCCUGGGCCCCGAGGGCGCCCGGUCCGAAACCCACAGACGGCGUUCCCGUCGAGUCUUAAGCGUAGCAAAAGUUACCACCGCUUCAAAGACUCAGGCGGGAGCGGCCCCGAGAAUUACCCCCAAAGUUUGACCUCGGAUCAGGUAGGGAUACCCGCUGAACUUAAGCAUAUCAAUAAGCGGAGGAAAAGAAACCAACAGGGAUUGCCUUAGUAACGGCGAGUGAAGCGGCAACAGCUCAAAUUUGAAAUCUGGCUCACGCCCGAGUUGUAAUUUGCAGAGGUGGCUUCGGAGCCGCACCGGCCUAAGUUCCUUGGAACAGGACGUCACAGAGGGUGAGAAUCCCGUACGUGGCCAGGUGCCUAUCCGUGUGUAGCCCCUUCGACGAGUCGAGUUGUUUGGGAAUGCAGCUCUAAAUUGGAGGUAAAUUUCUUCUAAAGCUAAAUACCGGCCAGAGACCGAUAGCGCACAAGUAGAGUGAUCGAAAGAUGAAAAGCACUUUGAAAAGAGAGUUAAAAAGUACGUGAAAUUGUUGAAAGGGAAGCGUUUGUAGCCAGACCUGACUUCAGUUGCUCAGCCGGUCCUUGCCCGGUGCACUCUUCUGUCGUCAGGCCAGCAUCAGUUCGGGCGGCCGGAUAAAGGCCUGGGGAAUGUGGCUCCUCGGAGUGUUAUAGCCCCUCGCACAAUGCGGCCUGCCCGGA
Molecule: ribosomal RNA, 1047 nt
Filed under: fungal sp.
Lineage: Eukaryota; Fungi
Description: eukaryotic LSU rRNA
Rfam family: Eukaryotic large subunit ribosomal RNA (bases 477-1047)
Source: RNAcentral